This 569-nucleotide long non-coding RNA is filed under the name Homo sapiens (human). RNAcentral's name for it is "HSALNT0078099". Lineage: Eukaryota; Metazoa; Chordata; Mammalia; Primates; Hominidae. The record is from RNAcentral.
CAAACUUGGGUAUGAGUAGCAACUCUACAUUAUGAAAUAGAAGUGAGAUUUCACACAAGUAGGACUUAAGCAAGUUGUAUGAGCAGAUGACUGAGACUCUUACAACACCUACUACAGCCUGAGAAAUGGGCAGGUGUCACAGUGUGAAUGAAUUGAACUUAAUGCACUGAUAACUUCAGUCUCCAAAGGUGACUGCUGUGAGAAUGACUGUUCCUGGAAGCAUUAAGUCCCAAAUGUACUCAUCUCCUUGCUUGCAUUAUGUCCAGCCCCAGGGCUAAUUUCAACAAGACCUGCACAUUAUUUGGUGUUAUUUCCAGUCUUCUUUCUAUUUGUUUUUCUUGUCUAUUCAAAGAAGAAUUUGCACAGCCUGAAUUAGUGAAGAGAAUGAAGGUGGAGAGGCAAAUAUCCAAUAUUAGAUAACUCACUCACAGGCCGAUUGGAUUAAACAUCCUUGACAUUGGACUUAAUAAAAAGAAAACAGGGAUCUGCACUUAAAUGCAGGAAUGAACAUAGAGAGAAAAUAUACAAACCUCUAUAGUUUAGUUUCUGUGAAGAUAAGCCAAGCUGCC